GGGUUGUGAGGUUAAGCGACUAAGCGUACACGGUGGAUGCCCUGGCAGUCAGAGGCGAUGAAGGACGUGCUAAUCUGCGAUAAGCGUCGGUAAGGUGAUAUGAACCGUUAUAACCGGCGAUUUCCGAAUGGGGAAACCCAGUGUGAUUCGUCACACUAUCAUUAACUGAAUCCAUAGGUUAAUGAGGCGAACCGGGGGAACUGAAACAUCUAAGUACCCCGAGGAAAAGAAAUCAACCGAGAUUCCCCCAGUAGCGGCGAGCGAACGGGGAGGAGCCCAGAGCCUGAAUCAGUGUGUGUGUUAGUGGAAGCGUCUGGAAAGGCGCGCGAUACAGGGUGACAGCCCCGUACACAAAAAUGCACAUGCUGUGAGCUCGAUGAGUAGGGCGGGACACGUGGUAUCCUGUCUGAAUAUGGGGGGACCAUCCUCCAAGGCUAAAUACUCCUGACUGACCGAUAGUGAACCAGUACCGUGAGGGAAAGGCGAAAAGAACCCCGGCGAGGGGAGUGAAAAAGAACCUGAAACCGUGUACGUACAAGCAGUGGGAGCACAGAGCAAUCUGUGUGACUGCGUACCUUUUGUAUAAUGGGUCAGCGACUUAUAUUCUGUAGCAAGGUUAACCGAAUAGGGGAGCCGAAGGGAAACCGAGUCUUAACUGGGCGUUAAGUUGCAGGGUAUAGACCCGAAACCCGGUGAUCUAGCCAUGGGCAGGUUGAAGGUUGGGUAACACUAACUGGAGGACCGAACCGACUAAUGUUGAAAAAUUAGCGGAUGACUUGUGGCUGGGGGUGAAAGGCCAAUCAAACCGGGAGAUAGCUGGUUCUCCCCGAAAGCUAUUUAGGUAGCGCCUCGUGAAUUCAUCUCCGGGGGUAGAGCACUGUUUCGGCAAGGGGGUCAUCCCGACUUACCAACCCGAUGCAAACUGCGAAUACCGGAGAAUGUUAUCACGGGAGACACACGGCGGGUGCUAACGUCCGUCGUGAAGAGGGAAACAACCCAGACCGCCAGCUAAGGUCCCAAAGUCAUGGUUAAGUGGGAAACGAUGUGGGAAGGCCCAGACAGCCAGGAUGUUGGCUUAGAAGCAGCCAUCAUUUAAAGAAAGCGUAAUAGCUCACUGGUCGAGUCGGCCUGCGCGGAAGAUGUAACGGGGCUAAACCAUGCACCGAAGCUGCGGCAGCGACGCUGAUGCGUUGUUGGGUAGGGGAGCGUUCUGUAAGCCUGCGAAGGUGUGCUGUGAGGCAUGCUGGAGGUAUCAGAAGUGCGAAUGCUGACAUAAGUAACGAUAAAGCGGGUGAAAAGCCCGCUCGCCGGAAGACCAAGGGUUCCUGUCCAACGUUAAUCGGGGCAGGGUGAGUCGACCCCUAAGGCGAGGCCGAAAGGCGUAGUCGAUGGGAAACAGGUUAAUAUUCCUGUACUUGGUGUUACUGCGAAGGGGGGACGGAGAAGGCUAUGUUGGCCGGGCGACGGUUGUCCCGGUUUAAGCGUGUAGGCUGGUUUUCCAGGCAAAUCCGGAAAAUCAAGGCUGAGGCGUGAUGACGAGGCACUACGGUGCUGAAGCAACAAAUGCCCUGCUUCCAGGAAAAGCCUCUAAGCAUCAGGUAACAUCAAAUCGUACCCCAAACCGACACAGGUGGUCAGGUAGAGAAUACCAAGGCGCUUGAGAGAACUCGGGUGAAGGAACUAGGCAAAAUGGUGCCGUAACUUCGGGAGAAGGCACGCUGAUAUGUAGGUGAAGCGACUUGCUCGUGGAGCUGAAAUCAGUCGAAGAUACCAGCUGGCUGCAACUGUUUAUUAAAAACACAGCACUGUGCAAACACGAAAGUGGACGUAUACGGUGUGACGCCUGCCCGGUGCCGGAAGGUUAAUUGAUGGGGUUAGCGCAAGCGAAGCUCUUGAUCGAAGCCCCGGUAAACGGCGGCCGUAACUAUAACGGUCCUAAGGUAGCGAAAUUCCUUGUCGGGUAAGUUCCGACCUGCACGAAUGGCGUAAUGAUGGCCAGGCUGUCUCCACCCGAGACUCAGUGAAAUUGAACUCGCUGUGAAGAUGCAGUGUACCCGCGGCAAGACGGAAAGACCCCGUGAACCUUUACUAUAGCUUGACACUGAACAUUGAGCCUUGAUGUGUAGGAUAGGUGGGAGGCUUUGAAGUGUGGACGCCAGUCUGCAUGGAGCCGACCUUGAAAUACCACCCUUUAAUGUUUGAUGUUCUAACGUGGACCCGUAAUCCGGGUUGCGGACAGUGUCUGGUGGGUAGUUUGACUGGGGCGGUCUCCUCCUAAAGAGUAACGGAGGAGCACGAAGGUUGGCUAAUCCUGGUCGGACAUCAGGAGGUUAGUGCAAUGGCAUAAGCCAGCUUGACUGCGAGCGUGACGGCGCGAGCAGGUGCGAAAGCAGGUCAUAGUGAUCCGGUGGUUCUGAAUGGAAGGGCCAUCGCUCAACGGAUAAAAGGUACUCCGGGGAUAACAGGCUGAUACCGCCCAAGAGUUCAUAUCGACGGCGGUGUUUGGCACCUCGAUGUCGGCUCAUCACAUCCUGGGGCUGAAGUAGGUCCCAAGGGUAUGGCUGUUCGCCAUUUAAAGUGGUACGCGAGCUGGGUUUAGAACGUCGUGAGACAGUUCGGUCCCUAUCUGCCGUGGGCGCUGGAGAACUGAGGGGGGCUGCUCCUAGUACGAGAGGACCGGAGUGGACGCAUCACUGGUGUUCGGGUUGUCAUGCCAAUGGCACUGCCCGGUAGCUAAAUGCGGAAGAGAUAAGUGCUGAAAGCAUCUAAGCACGAAACUUGCCCCGAGAUGAGUUCUCCCUGACUCCUUGAGAGUCCUGAAGGAACGUUGAAGACGACGACGUUGAUAGGCCGGGUGUGUAAGCGCAGCGAUGCGUUGAGCUAACCGGUACUAAUGAACCGUGAGGCUUAACCUUACAACGCCGAAG
This 2927-nucleotide ribosomal RNA is filed under the name Escherichia coli. Its description in RNAcentral is "partial 23S ribosomal RNA". It matches the Rfam family "Bacterial large subunit ribosomal RNA". The record is from RNAcentral. Lineage: Bacteria; Pseudomonadati; Pseudomonadota; Gammaproteobacteria; Enterobacterales; Enterobacteriaceae.